CCUACGGGUGGCAGCAGUGGGGAAUAUUGCACAAUGGGGGAAACCCUGAUGCAGCGACGCCGCGUGAGUGACGAAGUAUUUCGGUACGUAAAGCUCUAUCAGCAGGGAAGAAAAUGACGGUACCUGACUAAGAAGCCCCGGCUAACUACGUGCCAGCAGCCGCGGGAAUACGUAGGGGGCAAGCGUUAUCCGGAUUUACUGGGUGUAAAGGGAGCGUAGACGGCAGCGCAAGUCUGGAGUGAAAUCCCAUGGCUUAACCAUGGAACUGCUUUGGAAACUGUGUAACUGGAGUACAGGAGGGGCAGGCGGAAUGCCUGGUGUAGCGGUGAAAUGCGUAGAUAUCAGGAGGAACACCGGCGGCGAAGGCGGCCUGCUGGACUGAAACUGACGUUGAGGCUCGAAAGCGUGGGGAGCAAACAGGAUUAGAUACCCUUGUAGUC
RNAcentral lists this ribosomal RNA (440 nucleotides) under uncultured bacterium. Its description in RNAcentral is "partial 16S ribosomal RNA". It matches the Rfam family "Bacterial small subunit ribosomal RNA", at positions 338 to 795 of the family's 1533-position model. The record is from RNAcentral.